Leptinotarsa decemlineata (Colorado potato beetle) is the source of this 434-nucleotide long non-coding RNA. The record is from RefSeq and is a predicted model, not a curated record. NCBI's taxonomy places the organism in Eukaryota, Metazoa, Arthropoda, Insecta, Coleoptera, Chrysomelidae.
AGUUAUAUUGUCACAGGUUUUCAAAGUGACUGCAUUGUGUAUUGUUUAGAUACUGAACCUUAUAGAAAUUACGCAAUUAAUUUUCUUAAAAAAUGGGAAAUGUAAGUGAAAAGGUAGAGGCAGCUUCCAACGUCUCACAGCAGACCGAAGCACCUAAAAAACUCAAACCGUGCUGUGCUUGUCCCGAGACAAAGAAAGUCAGAGAUGAAUGUAUAAUACUAAAUGGUGAAGAAAACUGUAAACAUCUGAUUGAAGCCCACAAAGAAUGUAUGAGGAAGGCAGGAUUCAAUAUCUAGUAUCUUAUUCAUAUUAAUCGUUUGUAAAUAUAACCCAAAGAAAUAUAUAGUUUAGACUGAAACAGUAACACAUUUAUUAUUUGUUAUCUUGUUUUGUUAGAAAAAUAAGUUUGGGAGUGAAUAAAGUAUUACAUGUGU